GACGUGUUAAUAUACAGGACAUCCUGUUCGUUAAAAGGGUGGGCCACUUUCUAAUGAUCAGUGCGACAGUCCAAUCCACUUAUCGGACAGGAUGCAGCGUGAAAAUCCGUGUGGCCCACGCAAUGAGUAGAUGGCCCUGAUUUUCAUACCAGGCGAUCGUUAUGGUGUGUCCUACCAAUUGCACGGAUCAGAUGACGUGUUGGCGGAAUAAAAUUGGAUGGAUGUGAAAGUUUACAUACAGACGCUGUAUUAGAUCCCCCCUCUCUUUCUGGAUUUAGGGUUAUAAGAGUCUGGAUUUGAAUUCUCUACGUAGGAUAGAAGUAGUUGGAAGAUGGAAACAAUAGAAUCCGACAUCGCCAGGGUCCAAGAAGAGAGGAGAAAGAAGGAGCAGGAACUUGCCUCUCUGACCGCAGUCACCUUUGAUGCUGAUCUUUACGGGGGCGGCAACCGCUUCGAGGAUUACGAGCAGUCGAUCCCUGUCAAUGAAGAGGAGGAAGAUCAAGAUGCUGGGGAGCGAGAGGUUGCGAGGAAGCUAGCUUCGUAUACUGCACCUAAAUCGGUAUUGAAGGAGUUGCCGAGAGGAGUGGGUGUGGAUGAUGGGGAUGAUUUUGGUUUCAAGAAACCACAGAAAAUCAUUGAUAGGGAGGAUGAUUAUAGGAAGCGGAGGCUGAAUCGGAUAAUCUCGCCUGACAGGAAUGAUGCUUUCGCGAUGGGAGACAAGACGCCGGACCCGUCCGUGAGGACCUACGGUGAUGUCAUGAAGGAGGAGGCCUUGAAGAGACAGAAAGAAGAGAUGCUGAGAGAGAUUUCAAAGCGGAAGAAAGAGGAAGAGGAGAACAAGGCCUCUGAGCCUGCUCCAUCAGCUCAGAAAAGGAGGAACAGGUGGGACCAAUCUCAGGAACAAGAUAAUAGUAGCAGCAGCAAGAAGGUGAAAACCGCGUCGUCGGCAUCGGAUUGGGACAUGCCAGAUUCAACUCCUGGGAUUGGCCGGUGGGAUGCAACUCCAACCCCGGGGAGGCUGGCUGACGCGACACCAUCUGUUUCCCGUAGGAACCGUUGGGAUGAGACGCCCACGCCUGGUCGCCUGGCCGAUGCUGAUGCAACUCCGACCGCUGGUGGAGCUACUCCCGGAGCUACGCCAGCUGGCAUGACAUGGGAUGCAACACCCAAGCUGGCGGGACUCGCUACUCCGACACCCAAGCGACAAAGAUCGAGAUGGGAUGAAACGCCAGCGACCAUGGGAAGUGCAACACCAAUGCCUGGAGCGACCCCUGCUGCGGCAUUCACCCCUGGCCUGACCCCAGUUGGAGGAAUUGACCUCGCAACCCCAACCCCUGGAGCUAUCAAUCUUCGCGGUGCCAUUACUCCUGAGCAGUAUAAUCUGCUGAGGUGGGAGAGAGAUAUUGAGGAGAGGAACCGGCCAUUGACUGAUGAAGAGCUUGAUGCUAUGUUCCCACAAGAAGGAUAUAAGAUUCUAGAUCCUCCAGCUUCUUAUGUUCCAAUCAGAACUCCUGCGAGGAAGCUUCUUGCUACACCGACUCCCUUGGGAACUCCUCUAUAUGCGAUCCCUGAAGAGAAUCGUGGGCAGCAGUUUGAUGUUCCGAAGGAAGCACCUGGUGGUUUGCCGUUUAUGAAGCCAGAGGAUUACCAAUACUUUGGUGCGUUGCUGAACGAAGAAGAUGAGGAAGAGCUGUCACCAGAUGAACAGAAGGAGCGGAAGAUCAUGAAGCUGUUGCUCAAGGUUAAGAACGGGACUCCUCCGCAGAGGAAAACAGCAUUGCGCCAGCUUACGGAUAAAGCACGAGAAUUUGGGGCUGGCCCACUGUUCAAUCGGAUUCUGCCAUUGCUGAUGCAACCGACUUUGGAAGAUCAAGAACGCCAUCUUCUAGUUAAGGUCAUUGACAGGGUUUUGUACAAGCUGGAUGAGCUGGUCCGGCCAUUUGUACACAAGAUUUUGGUGGUGAUUGAGCCACUCUUGAUCGAUGAGGACUACUAUGCUCGUGUAGAAGGAAGAGAGAUCAUUUCCAAUCUCAGCAAAGCGGCUGGCUUGGCCACGAUGAUUGCUGCAAUGAGACCAGAUAUCGACAAUAUUGAUGAAUAUGUCAGGAACACAACGGCAAGGGCUUUCAGUGUUGUUGCCUCCGCAUUGGGUAUUCCUGCGCUGUUACCGUUUUUGAAAGCUGUGUGCCAGAGUAAGAAAUCUUGGCAAGCUCGGCACACCGGCAUUAAGAUUGUACAGCAGAUUGCGAUUCUAAUGGGUUGUGCCGUGCUUCCGCAUCUGAGGUCCCUUGUUGAAAUCAUUGAACACGGUCUCAACGAUGAAAACCAGAAAGUGAGAACUAUUACAGCAUUGUCUCUCGCUGCACUCGCUGAGGCCGCUGCUCCAUAUGGUAUAGAGAGUUUUGAUUCGGUCCUAAAGCCUCUGUGGAAAGGCAUUCGAUCACACCGAGGAAAGGUUUUGGCAGCUUUCUUGAAAUCAAUUGGUUUCAUUAUUCCUCUCAUGGAUGCUAUGUAUGCAAGUUACUACACAAAGGAAGUGAUGUUUAUACUGAUCCGAGAGUUCCAAUCGCCGGAUGAAGAAAUGAAGAAGAUUGUACUUAAAGUGGUCAAGCAGUGUGUGAGUACGGAAGGGGUUGAAGCUGAUUAUAUUCGGAGCGAUAUUCUUCCCGAGUUCUUCCGGAAUUUCUGGGUUAGAAGGAUGGCGCUGGACCGCAGAAACUAUAGGCAGCUUGUGGAGACGACUGUAGAAAUAGCUAACAAGGUCGGUGUUGCAGAUAUAGUAGGAAGGAUCGUCGAGGAUCUCAAAGACGAGAGUGAACCAUACAGGCGGAUGGUAAUGGAAACAAUCGAGAAGGUGGUUACAAACUUGGGUGCAUCAGAUAUUGAUGCCCGGUUGGAAGAGCUCCUGAUCGAUGGUAUUCUGUAUGCUUUCCAAGAACAGACCAGCGACGAUGCGAAUGUGAUGCUCAAUGGUUUCGGUGCUGUGGUGAAUUCCCUUGGACAGAGGGUGAAACCGUACCUUCCCCAGAUAUGUGGUACCAUAAAGUGGCGUUUGAACAAUAAGAGUGCGAAGGUCAGGCAGCAAGCAGCGGACCUCAUAUCGAGGAUCGCAGUUGUCAUGAAGCAGUGCCAAGAAGAGCAGCUGAUGGGCCACUUGGGUGUGGUUUUGUAUGAGUACUUAGGAGAAGAGUACCCUGAAGUCCUGGGAUCUAUAUUGGGAGCACUGAAGGCUAUCGUCAAUGUCAUUGGUAUGACAAAAAUGACUCCUCCAAUAAAGGAUCUGCUCCCACGUCUCACUCCCAUUUUGAAGAAUAGGCAUGAGAAAGUGCAGGAGAAUUGUAUCGACCUUGUCGGGAGGAUUGCUGAUCGUGGGGCAGAGUUUGUCCCUGCAAGGGAGUGGAUGAGGAUAUGUUUUGAGCUCCUUGAGAUGUUGAAGGCCCACAAGAAGGGGAUCCGGCGUGCUACUGUGAACACAUUUGGGUACAUUGCGAAAGCGAUUGGACCUCAAGACGUCUUGGCAACGCUGUUGAACAACCUGAAGGUGCAAGAGCGUCAGAAUCGGGUCUGCACAACUGUGGCCAUUGCCAUUGUUGCCGAAACCUGCUCACCCUUCACGGUCUUACCAGCUCUGAUGAAUGAGUACCGGGUACCAGAGCUGAACGUGCAAAACGGGGUCCUGAAAUCACUCUCUUUCCUCUUCGAGUACAUAGGUGAGAUGGGGAAGGACUACAUCUAUGCCGUUACGCCCUUGCUCGAAGAUGCGCUUAUGGACAGGGAUCUGGUGCAUAGGCAAACGGCCGCUUCCGCUGUUAAGCACAUGGCCUUGGGUGUUGCUGGGUUGGGCUGCGAGGAUGCUUUGGUGCAUCUGCUGAACUAUGUGUGGCCCAAUAUUUUUGAGACGUCUCCUCAUGUCAUAAAUGCUGUCAUGGAAGCGAUUGAAGGGAUGAGGGUGGCGUUGGGCGCUGCAGCUGUUCUGAACUACUGUCUUCAGGGGCUGUUUCAUCCGGCACGGAAAGUGAGGGAGGUGUAUUGGAAGAUCUACAACUCGCUGUACAUUGGAUCACAAGAUGCACUUGUGGCUGCCUAUCCUGUGUUGGAUGACGAGGAGAACAAUGUGUUCAGCAGGCCAGAGCUGACGAUGUUUGUCUGAGGUGGGUGACAAUGGGAAGAUAAGGAAGCUGUUGGAAUCCAACUGUUUGUUGAUGUCGAUGAAUGUUGGGCUUGAGCAGUCUUCAUGAAAUAGGUCAUCUUCAUUUAACAAGAUACAGUUGAAUGGUGAUGAGGUUAGAUCGACCGCUCUUUCUGGUUUGCAACGGGCCGCCAUGACUUUGGUUUCCAGCCGUUAUAAGCUGUAUGUUGUUCAAGUGGGACCUUUUUCGUUGGGAUUGGGCCGAGCUAAUUACAAGCUUUCUUUAAAUUGUCUGUUAAGACUGAGCCUGACAAAGAACAGGCCUGUUUAUGACUUUAAUAGGUAUGCUUGGUCCUGAGAUUGAA
RNA transcript from Magnolia sinica, 4494 nucleotides. RefSeq lists it as uncharacterized. NCBI's taxonomy places the organism in Eukaryota, Viridiplantae, Streptophyta, Magnoliopsida, Magnoliales, Magnoliaceae. The record is from RefSeq and is a predicted model, not a curated record. The transcript is spliced from 3 exons.